AGCGAACGCUGGCGGCAGGCUUAACACAUGCAAGUCGAGCGGGCCCUUCGGGGUCAGCGGCAGACGGGUGAGUAACACGUGGGAACGUACCCUUUGGUUCGGAAUAACGCUGGGAAACUAGCGCUAAUACCGGAUACGCCCUUUUGGGGAAAGGCUUGCUGCCGAAGGAUCGGCCCGCGUCUGAUUAGCUAGUUGGUGGGGUAAUGGCCUACCAAGGCGACGAUCAGUAGCUGGUCUGAGAGGAUGAUCAGCCACACUGGGACUGAGACACGGCCCAGACUCCUACGAGGCAGCAGUGGGGAAUAUUGGACAAUGGGCGCAAGCCUGAUCCAGCCAUGCCGCGUGAGUGAUGAAGGCCUUAGGGUUGUAAAGCUCUUUUGUCCGGGACGAUAAUGACGGUACCGGAAGAAUAAGCCCCGGCUAACUUCGUG
RNAcentral lists this ribosomal RNA (431 nucleotides) under uncultured bacterium. RNAcentral describes it as "partial 16S ribosomal RNA". It matches the Rfam family "Bacterial small subunit ribosomal RNA", at positions 29 to 507 of the family's 1533-position model. The record is from RNAcentral.